UGCUGCUGCUGCUGCUGUUACUGCUGCUGCUGCUGCUGCUGCUACUGUUACUAGAUGGAUGGAACAGAAUUGGAUAAUUAUUCCAAAUUGCUUUGAUUAUCCUCGAAUAAGGGGAAAAAAGAAGACAAAAAAAUAUCAAUGAGAUGAGAAACUUGAUUCAAUUUUUCUAGGAAUUUUACGUAGAUACUAUUGUGAGAUAUGUUCAAUGAGAUCUUUCUAUCGAUAAUUAAUCAUAAUAAAUAUAUUUAUAAAAGUAACAAAUUGGAAUGGAAGACGUACAAUGAAUGAUAGAAAAUGAAACUCUAAUAUUCUCGGUCUCGUGUUUCUUUAACAAAUCAAUACGAAUAUUUGUUAUAUACUAAACAUGAAUUAAAUAAUAAUUUAUUUCUCAUUUUAGCUAGUACUCUUACUCUUCCCCCUCCCCCCCCCAAAAAAAGAAAAAUGAAUUUGUUAAUACAAAUUUGAAACUAAACAUUAACAAACGAGUGUCUUACGAAAGAUACGAACGAACAUGGAUUCCCAGGAACGUAAUUAACCUCGUACAAAAAAGGGGGUUUCGUAUAAUUAAAAAAGGAAGAUUCCUGUAAGGAUGAAAAGGAAUAACAUUUCUAAAGUAUAAUACAAUAAUCGAUUGGAAGAAGUCGUUACGCGAGUAGGAAUGAGAUAAUCCGCGAUGACAUAAAUGAGAAUUCGUAAACGAAACGUCACGCUCUCCUCCAUCUCUCUCCCUCUAUCUUUCUCACCCUCAUAUUCUGUCUAUCUCGGUCUCUCUCAUUCCUUCUCCGGCGCUAUUUAACCUCUCACACAGAGAGAGAACCGUCUAUUGAUUUUUCCAGCUCCUAUUGUUUUUGGCACCAGUCGCUUCGUUCGCAACUAUGAACAUUGAACGUGGCCAAAUUUAGGGUGGGGGAGUAGUACGUACGAAGAAAUAAGAAA
This 936-nucleotide long non-coding RNA is filed under the name Polistes fuscatus (common paper wasp). Its description in RNAcentral is "uncharacterized LOC122518313". Lineage: Eukaryota; Metazoa; Arthropoda; Insecta; Hymenoptera; Vespidae. The record is from RNAcentral.